GGCCAGAUAGCUCAGUUGGUAGAGCGAAGGACUGAAAAUCCUUGCGUCCUCGGUUCGAUCCCGAGUCUGGCCACCA
RNAcentral lists this transfer RNA (76 nucleotides) under bacterium. RNAcentral describes it as "tRNA-Phe". It matches the Rfam family "tRNA". Rfam says of the family: Transfer RNA (tRNA) molecules are approximately 80 nucleotides in length. Their secondary structure includes four short double-helical elements and three loops (D, anti-codon, and T loops). The record is from RNAcentral.